Non-coding RNA from Arachis ipaensis, 650 nucleotides. The record is from RefSeq and is a predicted model, not a curated record. Lineage: Eukaryota; Viridiplantae; Streptophyta; Magnoliopsida; Fabales; Fabaceae.
CCUAAAUAAAACCCUAAUUCCCCAAUCCCUAACUCAAAACACAAUGCACACACACAUUCAGAAAGGGAAGGAAACGAGAAACAGGGGGAAGAAGAAGGGAAGGAGAGGGAGAAGAGCAUGCCGGCGUCGCGCCCAGCUCGUCGCCGUGGAGCUGUCGCCGCUCUCAUCACGGGCCGUCGCUCAUUGUCACUGCUGGGUUCUUCGUCAGCGCUACUGCAGACAAGAAGAAAAAGAGAGAAAGCCAGCGCGAGAGAAGAGGAGGAGGGGCGCUGUCUCACGCCGUCACUGUCACGCCUUGUUGUCGCAGCUAUGGAGACCGCCACCGUUGUUGGAAUCGCGAACUGAGGAGAAAGGGAGAGCGACGCUGAGAGAGAUUGACGGAAGCCAAGGAGAGAAGAGGAGCCGAUUUCCGUCACCACCACCGCACCCAGUCGCCACCGGUGGAGCUCGCCGUCCCUGGAGGUGAAUCGGUGUCGCGUCCUUGCUGCCAGGGCCACCAGCGCUAAUGCUUCUCCUCAAAUUUCGCCUCUUUUCCUUUGGGGGUUUCUGCCGCAAAUUCCAUGCCCAACAUCACCAUACUUCUUGUAUUCGUUGGGGAACUUCUUACUUCUUAGUUUCCUGAUUUUUCAGAUUAAAAAUAUUUUGAAAUC